UACAGAGGAUGCAAGCGUUAUCCGGAAUGAUUGGGCGUAAAGCGUCUGUAGGUGGCUUUUUAAGUUCGCCGUCAAAUCCCAGGGCUCAACCCUGGACAGGUGGUGGAAACUACCAAGCUAGAGUACGGUAGGGGCAGAGGGAAUUUCCGGUGGAGCGAUGAAAUGCGUAGAGAUCGGAAGGAACACCCAAGGCGAAAGCACUCUGCUGGGCCGACACUGACACUGAGAGACGAAAGCUAGGGGAGCAAAUGGG
RNAcentral lists this ribosomal RNA (253 nucleotides) under uncultured bacterium. RNAcentral's name for it is "partial 16S ribosomal RNA". It matches the Rfam family "Bacterial small subunit ribosomal RNA", at positions 524 to 776 of the family's 1533-position model. The record is from RNAcentral.